CUAGAAUGGCAACUUUGUAACUUUCAAGAAUACCACAUAAUAAAAACUGAUUUAAUGAGUUUAAUUAUGUAGUAUUCUUGAAAGUUACAAAGUGUUUCAUUUUAG
Molecule: microRNA precursor, 105 nt
Filed under: Callithrix jacchus (white-tufted-ear marmoset)
Lineage: Eukaryota; Metazoa; Chordata; Mammalia; Primates; Cebidae
Description: microRNA cja-mir-9981 precursor
Source: miRBase by way of RNAcentral